Molecule: transfer RNA, 63 nt
Filed under: Pedionis sagittata
Lineage: Eukaryota; Metazoa; Arthropoda; Insecta; Hemiptera; Cicadellidae
Description: tRNA-His
Source: RNAcentral
AAUUUAAGUAGUUUAUUUAAAAUAUAGAAUUGUGGUUUCUAAGAAGUUUUUAGUCUUAAAUUU